AUAUUGCACAAUGGGGGAAACCCUGAUGCAGCGACGCCGCGUGAAGGAUGAAGUAUUUCGGUAUGUAAACUUCUAUCAGCAGGGAAGAAAAUGACGGUACCUGACUAAGAAGCCCCGGCUAACUACGUGCCAGCAGCCGCGGUAAUACGUAGGGGGCAAGCGUUAUCCGGAUUUACUGGGUGUAAAGGGAGCGUAGACGGUUUUGCAAGUCUGAAGUGAAAAACCGGGGCUCAACCCCGGGAUUGCUUUGGAAACUGUGGAACUAGAGUACCGGAGAGGCAAGUGGAAUUCCUAGUGUAGCGGUGAAAUGCGUAGAUAUUAGGAGGAACACCAGUGGCGAAGGCGGCUUGCUGGACGGUAACUGACGUUGAGGCUCGAAAGCGUGGGGAGCAAACAG
RNAcentral lists this ribosomal RNA (397 nucleotides) under uncultured bacterium. Its description in RNAcentral is "bacterial SSU rRNA". It matches the Rfam family "Bacterial small subunit ribosomal RNA", at positions 361 to 775 of the family's 1533-position model. The record is from RNAcentral.